AACCUCUCCAAACCACCUCCACCCUGAUCUCCACAACCCCCUGAUCCUCUCCUAAACCACUCCGGCGAGCCCUCCCAUGGCCACCUCGACGCCGUGAUCUCUACAUCUAAUGAAGGAGUCCGUACGUCGUUCGUUCGUUCGCACGCAACCCUCGCAUCGAUCGACCUCCCCCACCGAUUUUCCUCCAAAUAAAACGUUUGACUCCACCUCCUCUUCCGCAUGGAAAAAAGGGAGGAAAUCACCUAUGUUUUUGGUUUCCUUUCACGGUCUCCAUCCUAUCCAGACCCGCCCUCACCCCCGAACCUCUCCAAACCACCUCCACCCUGAUCUCCACAACCCCCUGAUCCUCUCCUAAACCACUCCGGCGAGCCCUCCCAUGGCCACCUCGACGCCGUGAGAUUCGGGGGCGGCGGAAUCGAGAGGUUAUCAUGGAGUGCAGGUCGUUGUGUGACUGCAUGGUGACGCCCGGCUGAAGCAUCGAGAUGGAGGACACGGCCGCCGCUGUGAUGUGCUUUACUGGUGUGCCCGUGCGCCUGCUCACUAGGCGCCGCGACGGGUUGGGUCUCACCGCUGCCAUGGAUUUGAACUACUACCGCGGGAGGCUGCACGUCAUGCUAAGCAAUCGUCCUGAGCAAGCAGUUGAGGCUACACCAGCUAAGGAUCCGGUGGAAGCCGAUUCAUCUCUGCUAAUCUGAGAAAGAAUAAUGGGAAGGUAAGUCUGUAAGCAUUGAAAUUUUCUAUACUUUCUAUGACGAUGCAAUCUACCUUCUACAUGUAAAUAGAAUAUCGCAUAUCGGUAAUAAUAUCUUUGUAGUGCAAUUUUGCAUAAUGUGGAAGCUUGUACUAAUUGGCUGCUUACCGUGACACCAACAUAUGUGCUUUCUCCGCUUUGCAUUUCUGUUAUUGUGAUGAAUUCUAAUUUAACAGGACACGCAUGUCCGCAUAGGAUACAACUAGCUGCAUGGCAUGAGAUUAUUCAACGUGUUGAGUAAUCUGGAAUGGUAACAUUUUUGGUUAAAUGGGAUGCUCUUGAGAUUAUUUCUCAUGCCAACAUGGCAUGCCCGAGUGAAAAAUGUGCCACCGUUGGGCAGGGUCGUGCCUUCUUAGAGGAGGUUUCUGGUUGGAUAAAUGAGAAGGCAUGAUGCCUGUUUGGGCUUAGAUGACUCCUAACAUUGCAGGUAUUAUAGAGGGACCUUGAUCUACAUCUAUUGAGUAAUUAGCAGUCACAUGUCUUCUGUGUUUUUACUUGUUAUGGUGUCAACUGAUGAAGUUCUAACAAUUUUUUUAUCAUUGACUACUUUUCAAAAACUUAGUUUUCUCACUGUAUUGAUCUCAGUAGUUUGGUUCUCUGGUCAUACAUUACAUUGUUCUACAUAUCUUCCCUGGAUUAUUUGGCUUGGGCAUCAACUGGGACAGGGUGGGACAUCAUGGUGGGAUUAGGCAUGUAAAUUCUGGUUUUAGUUUUACUUUCAUGUUUGGUAAGACAGACAAAAACUAUGAGUGACUGAUUUGUAUCUUGAAAUGCAUCCUAUGAUGAAUCAUCAUGAAGUGUCGAUGUAUAUUGAACUUUCUAAAAUGAUGGGACUUCAACCCUCAAACUCAUAAUCCACCCUCCCUACCCCUCCCUGAAUUACCGUCCCCUCCAGCCAAACAACACCACCAUUUCUAAUUUGAUAUUCUGUUCGCUGUAUUAAACAUGAGUCAUGUUCAUAUUGCACUGUCAAGAUCAGAUAUGUAGUGCACAAUUGAUGAUAAUCUUUUUAAAGUCUUGACGUUGCUAGCCCACACCGACGAACUCUGCUAUUCGGACUCUGAUCCCUAGGCGCCGGACGCAUACCCACAACCACGGACAGACCGUCAGUGAGUGCCUCACAUUAGAUGCUGAUCCACUCCACCUCCGGUUAUCAUAGACCAACCUAUCCGAGGUAUACCAUAUUACCACUCUAAAAUUCAACCACUUUCUUAGUCACAAAUUGAACAACUUUUGUUAUAAAAAAUUAAUUGGACCAAUGAUGAAGUGAUUGGAUUUUAACCUAUGACAUCGUGGUAGAUUUUCAAAGAUGAAGACUUCUUAGAUUUUAUUGAAAUAUUUUAUGGGAAUUUUUGCAGGAUUUUUAGCAGAGAUCUAUUUUCAUAGAUUUAUUUGUAGUGAGUCAAAGAUGAAGACUAGCGAAUUAGAAAGUUUAUUUGUGGCGAGUACAUAUUUUGGAGCGGUUAAUUAGAAAGUUUAGCACAAAGGACUCUGUGUUAUGUGUCUCUGGAAUUUACUUUACAUUUUGGAAGUAAUGAAUUAAGGACCGAACUAUUUUUUUUGGUGUGUCUGUCUGAAAGAUUACCUGUGUUGUUAUUUAUCAUAAUCGAUUUCCUCAUUAGAAUCUUCAUGGGUUUGAGUCUCCUCAUUCUCACUGUCUACAGAGCCAUCUAGAACAACCUGUACCCUCGCUGCAUAAGUAGCUUCAG
This is a long non-coding RNA of Triticum aestivum (bread wheat), 2460 nucleotides long. RefSeq lists it as uncharacterized. The record is from RefSeq and is a predicted model, not a curated record. The transcript is spliced from 2 exons. NCBI's taxonomy places the organism in Eukaryota, Viridiplantae, Streptophyta, Magnoliopsida, Poales, Poaceae.